UGGUGGGUUGCUUUGUCAGGUUGAUUCCGGUAACGAACGAGACCUCAGCCUGCUAAAUAGUCACGAUCGGCUCUUGCCGGUCGCCGGGCUUCUUAGAGGGACUAUCGGCGACUAGCCGAUGGAAGUGUGAGGCAAUAACA
This 140-nucleotide ribosomal RNA is filed under the name uncultured eukaryote. RNAcentral's name for it is "partial 18S ribosomal RNA". It matches the Rfam family "Eukaryotic small subunit ribosomal RNA", at positions 1299 to 1458 of the family's 1831-position model. The record is from RNAcentral.